This 497-nucleotide ribosomal RNA is filed under the name uncultured bacterium. RNAcentral describes it as "partial 16S ribosomal RNA". It matches the Rfam family "Bacterial small subunit ribosomal RNA", at positions 28 to 507 of the family's 1533-position model. The record is from RNAcentral.
GAUGAACGCUGGCGGCGUGCCUAAUACAUGCAAGUCGAGCGAACGGACGAGAAGCUUGCUUUUCUGAUGUUAGCGGCGGGCGGGUGAGUCACACGUGGAUACCCUCCCUAUCAGACUGGGAUAACUUCGGGAAACCGGAGCUAAUACCGGAUAAUAUUUUGCACCGCAUGGUUCAAAAGUGAAAGACGGUCUUGCUGUCACUUAUCGAUGGAUCCGCGCUGCAUUAGCUAGUUGGUAAGGUAACGGCUUACCACGGCAACGAUGCAUAACCGACCUGUGGGGGGGGUCGGCCACACUGGAAGGGAGACACGGUCCAGACUCCUACGGGAGGCAGCAGUAGGGAAUCUUCCGCAAAGGGCGAAAGCCUGACGGAGCAACGCCGCGUGAGUGAUGAAGGUCUUCGGAUCGUAAAACUCUGUUAUUAGGGAAGAACAUAUGUGUAAGUAACUGUGCACAGCGUGACGGUACCUAAUCAGAAAGCCACGGCUAACUACGUG